This 433-nucleotide ribosomal RNA is filed under the name uncultured bacterium. RNAcentral's name for it is "partial 16S ribosomal RNA". It matches the Rfam family "Bacterial small subunit ribosomal RNA", at positions 28 to 507 of the family's 1533-position model. The record is from RNAcentral.
GACGAACGCUGGCGGCAUGCCUAACACAUGCAAGUCGAACGAGACCUUCGUGUCUAGUGGCGCACGGGUGCGUAACGCGUGGGAACCUGCCCUUAGGUUCGGCAUAACUCCCCGAAAUGGGUGCUAAUACCGGAUACUGUCUUCGGACCAAAGCUUUAUCGCCUUUGGAUGGGCCCGCGUUGGUUUGGCGGGUUGGUAGGGUAAAAGCCUACCAAGGCGACGAUCCAUAGCUGGUCUGGGAGGAGGAUCAGCCACACUGGGACUGAGACACGGCCCAGACUCCUACGGGAGGCAGCAGUGGGGAAUAUUGGACAAUGGGCGAAAGCCUGAUCCAGCAAUGCCGCGUGAGUGAUGAAGGCCUUAGGGUUGUAAAGCUCUUUUACCCGGGAUGAUAAUGACAGUACCGGGAGAAUAAGCUCCGGCUAACUCCGUG